UUAUAUUUAUAUCUAAAUAAGCUUAUUAAAUGAAAUAAAAUGCAAUAUGUAAAUUCGCGAAUUAGAAUCAGUGUUAGUGCAUAUUUAUCAUUCCGAGACAGGAUACUGUUCAUCGUGCAAAGAUCAACAAAGGCUCUGGCUUAAAUUAAAGAAGAAUCAUUCGUCAACUUCUUGAGGCAGUAUGUUUAUCGUACAAAGGAUCAACAAAGACUCCAAUCAUUAUUGCAAUCGUGUGCGUGGAAAUUGAUGGAGUGUUGUAUCGUUUAAAUAAAAUCAAAAUCGCGAAUUAGAAGCAUCGUUCAUUCGUUAAUUUAAAUACAUCCGCGUUUCGCGAUUUCAAUUUUAGAAACAUAUGUACUUAAAUUGACUGCGAGCAAAGCAGUUAAUCAUAGAUUUAGAAUUUGUUCGUAUAAAAUAUUAUUAUUCUUUUUAAACGAUCACAUGGAUUGUUCGUGUAUUAGAAUCAGUGUAUACAUUUGAAGAUUAUCGAGAGAUUAAUACUUUUCUUUCAUAGAAAAAUAUUGAUCACCAUUAUGAUCGUGUCUUACCAGUCUACAACGACGUUGAGCUAUCUCAUUUUCAAUCUACUUUGAUAUCAAAACUACAUCGUUCUCAACUUCUUACGGAUCAUCCUCCUUUUGACUUACAUAACGGACGAGUG
This is a long non-coding RNA of Vespa crabro (European hornet), 661 nucleotides long. RefSeq lists it as uncharacterized. The record is from RefSeq and is a predicted model, not a curated record. NCBI's taxonomy places the organism in Eukaryota, Metazoa, Arthropoda, Insecta, Hymenoptera, Vespidae. The transcript has 4 exons.